RNAcentral lists this ribosomal RNA (460 nucleotides) under uncultured bacterium. RNAcentral describes it as "partial 16S ribosomal RNA". It matches the Rfam family "Bacterial small subunit ribosomal RNA", at positions 338 to 795 of the family's 1533-position model. The record is from RNAcentral.
CCUACGGGGGGCAGCAGUGAGGAAUAUUGGUCAAUGGGCGAGAGCCUGAACCAGCCAAGUCGCGUGAAGGAUGACGGCUCUAUGGUUUGUAAACUUCUUUUAUAUGGGAAUAAAGUGAGGAACGUGUUCCUUUUUGUAUGUACCAUAUGAAUAAGCAUCGGCUAACUCCGUGCCAGCAGCCGCGGUAAUACGGAGGAUGCGAGCGUUAUCCGGAUUUAUUGGGUUUAAAGGGUGCGUAGGUGGGUAAUUAAGUCAGCGGUGAAAGUUUGUGGCUCAACCAUAAAAUUGCCGUUGAAACUGGUUGACUUGAGUAUAUUUGAGGUAGGCGGAAUGCGUGGUGUAGCGGUGAAAUGCAUAGAUAUCACGCAGAACGCCGAUUGCGAAGGCAGCUUACUAAACUAUAACUGACACUGAAGCACGAAAGCGUGGGUAUCAAACAGGAUUAGAUACCCUUGUAGUC